RNAcentral lists this ribosomal RNA (334 nucleotides) under uncultured Bacillota bacterium. RNAcentral's name for it is "bacterial SSU rRNA". It matches the Rfam family "Bacterial small subunit ribosomal RNA", at positions 28 to 351 of the family's 1533-position model. Lineage: Bacteria; Bacillati; Bacillota. The record is from RNAcentral.
GACGAACGCUGGCGGCAUGCCUAAUACAUGCAAGUCGAACGAGCUGACAGAGUGCUUGCACUCUCGACGCGAGUGGCGGACGGGUGAGUAACACGUGGGAAACCUACCUAUAAGUAUGGGAUAACAUUCGGAAACGGAUGCUAAUACCAUAUAGAUUUUAGUUCCGCAUGGAACUGAAAGAAAAGACGGCUUUGCUGUCGCUUAUAGAUGGUCCCGCGGCGCAUUAGCUAGUUGGUGAGAUAAAAGCUCACCAAGGCUAUGAUGCGUAGCCGACCUGAGAGGGUAACCGGCCACACUGGGACUGAGACACGGCCCAGACUCCUACGGGUGGCUG